This 492-nucleotide ribosomal RNA is filed under the name uncultured bacterium. Its description in RNAcentral is "partial 16S ribosomal RNA". It matches the Rfam family "Bacterial small subunit ribosomal RNA", at positions 29 to 507 of the family's 1533-position model. The record is from RNAcentral.
AGUGAACGCUGGCGGUAGGCCUAACACAUGCAAGUCGAACGGCAGCACAGUAAGAGCUUGCUCUUACGGGUGGCGAGUGGCGGACAGGUGAGGAAUACAUCGGAAUCUACUUUUUCGUGGGGGAUAACGUAGGGAAACUUACGCUAAUACCGCAUACGACCUACGGGUGAAAGCAGGGGAUCUUCGUACCUUGCGCGAUUGAAUGAGCCGAUGUCGGAUUAGCUAGUUGGCGGGGUAAAGGCCCACCAAGGCGAGGAUCCGUAGCUGGUCUGAGAGGAUGAUCAGCCACACUGGAACUGAGGCACGGUCCAGACUCCUACGGGAGGCAGCAGUGGGGAAUAUUGGACAAUGGGCGCAAGCCUGAUCCAGCCAUACCGCGUGGGUGAAGAAGGCCUUCGGGUUGUAAAGCCCUUUUGUUGGGAAAGAAAAGCAGCAGGUUAAUACCUCGCUGUUCUGACGGUACCCAAAGAAUAAGCACCGGCUAACUUCGUG